Xiphophorus maculatus (southern platyfish) is the source of this 3546-nucleotide long non-coding RNA. RefSeq lists it as uncharacterized. NCBI's taxonomy places the organism in Eukaryota, Metazoa, Chordata, Actinopteri, Cyprinodontiformes, Poeciliidae. The transcript has 3 exons. The record is from RefSeq and is a predicted model, not a curated record.
AGGCCUACUUUUAACGUAUUUAGCACAGGAACAUAGUAUGCAAAUCUAUCUUUUCUGUCCUCAUCUUUGCCCAACAACACUUUUUUGGGUUCCCCAUAUUCGAACAUGUCUUUAAAACACCGGGCUCUAGAAUGAGCCGUUCUCAUCGGCCCUGUGUGGCAAGCUGAGAACAAGUCCGACUGUUUUACUGUGUCGCAGAUUUUUGCAAUGUCUUCAUCUGCAAAUGACGUUUCUUUAAGAAGCAAGUUCAAUCUAUUUAAAGAGUAUGUCUGUCCCAAUUCAUGUAUAUUCUGCAUCUCUUCCACAAUGUUUUGAAUGGUAGGUGAUGGAAGAAGAUGUUGUCCCUGUAGUUUUAUGUAAAACAUACAGACAUUUCUAAGAUACAAGUCACUGAAAUUUGGUCCUUCUAUGACUGUGUCUUCUGCAUCUGGCGCACUGGAAUCUUUUGUGGUAGCACUCUGAGUAUCUUCAUUACUUGUUUCACAAAUCAUAUUUUAUUUUUAUUUUAAUGCUGCAUAACCAACCGGCUGCAACACACUUGAACAUACGCCUCGGUUCGUUGCGAUGCAGUUUGCAAUGGAGAACAAAGGCUUUAACAGAUUUAACUGUUUCUGCACACAGGUUGCAUGAAUACAUCUUAAAUAUAUUACUUCGAUGGAUAGCUUACAGCGAUGGCGAUACAAAACGGAUGUAAGCAAUAGCUUUGUGGAGAGGCUAACUUUCCACAACUUCUUUUUCUCCUCGUUUCCCCUGAAAUGUCUUUUCAACCAACCGAAUGCAACUCAAACUAUUUGUUUUCUGAAAUUUUCCGCAAUAUUUCCUUACCUGAGAACGAGAGCCGAUCAGACGGAGAAGGUUGGAUGAUGAAGUCUCUGCACAAUCUGAGCGGAAUAGCUGGACAAAAACGCGAACCACCGAGUGCGACGGGUCCUCAAAUCCACCGCUUCCAAACUUCCGCCAGAACUCCACUUCGCCUGUCCGCGCGGACCAGGUGCAGGGGCCCCAUUAAUUAAGACUGACUACAGGCUGCCUGCCAGGGCUACGGGCAGGAAACUUGACUUACAUGACUUUUGUUAAACCGAAUAAAUUAUAUUACAAUAUAGACUACAAAUAUCUCUAAAACAUUUUCUGUGACUGAGUACAGAUUAUUUUAAUUUAUUUGUUAAUGAAAGAAAAUCCAAUAUUGGCAACAAGAUCAUUUACGGUACAGAACAUUUCGUGGAAAGAUAUUUAAUUUCCAUAAUUCCAUUCAAAAAGUCAAACUUUAAUAGAUUCCAGAUUCAGGACCCACAACUUAAGACGAUUGCAAGUAUUUGUUUAUUUUUACAUAAUUUGGGCUGUCAGGAGAAUUAAAUGCAAAGGUUACAGCGCUACUACAAUUUCUUUUUUCAUUUCCACAACAGUAUGCAUAUUGACAGUUUUGACCUGUAUACUUUAGAUUAAUUAUACAUGUAAAAAUUACGAUAUACACUGCUAGAAAAAUUAUAGUAUAUUUUUGUAAUUGCCACAGCAGUAUGCAUAUUGAACAGUUUCGAACUGUAUACUUUAUAAUUAUUAAAUGCAAAAACUACGGUAUACAUUGCUAGAAAAAUUACGGUAUGUUUCUGUAAUUGUCACAACAGUAUGCAUUCUUAACAGCUACUAACUGUAUUGUUUAAGAAAGAUGAGUGCAAAAACUACAGUAUGUACUACUAGAAAAAUUACAGCAUAUUACUGUUAAAAGUAUGACAAGAUUUUUUUUAACAGCAGGGCAAUGUAAAUUUUCUGAAAAACCCCCCCAGUAAAAAUUACAUUUUUUCCUAAUUAUCUUAUUUACGGUAAUUACUUGUUAAAGAAACAGUCUAAAAUUGAUUUCUAAUUUACGGUUUUAAAUUUUCAUGGUUUACUUUAUUUAACUGUAAAAUUUACGGAUAUUUUUUUACAGUGUAGGAAGAAAGCAAUGUUCAUAGUAUGGUUUUAUUUUCGUCUGAAACGACACUUUGUCUUUUCUAGCUGUCAUAGAAACUCAAAGCGGAAAAAAAGAGCCGCAUUUGCGCAUGCGGUUGUGAAGUCAGCGCGGCAGGUGCAAAGAGCUCACUGUAAUAAACAAAGAUGAUUUUCUUUUUGUUCCUCUACCGCCCUCUUGUGGUCGCAGCUGAUAAUGAUCCAUCUAGCAAGCAAAUGCUAAGAUGACGUUCGGCGUCCAAACAACAAUGAGAAGAAUCAUGGAUGAAAAAGCCAAAUUUCAGCACAAAUUUUAAACAUUAUUCAAUACACAACUUGUUGUUUCUAUAUUCUGUUUCACAUCUUUCAGAAAGUAACCGAUAAUAAUAACUAAAUGUCUAUAAUACUUGUGGUUUUCUUUACAUAACUUCUAAACAAAUCAAAUCAUAAAAACGCUGAUGACCGCAGACCGCUUCUGUACUCAGAAGCUGAGUUGAUGCUUCUGAGUACGAUUCGCAUAUUUAAAAGCGAAUCGUGUCCAAUUUCCAGCACCAGGCUCACUUACAGAAGUGAGGAUUUUUCUGUUCUAAUUUGAAAAUGAAAUGAGAAAAGAACUGGGAACAAAAUCAAGAUAAAAAAAAAUACACAGAAGGUGCAACAAACCUUCAGCAGCCUCAUCUUGUUUAUGUCAGCGAAUGACGUCAUCGUUUACGAUUACAAAUAGCCCAUAAAAGCAUCACUUGGACUGUUAUUUAUUAUUUAGCAUUUGGUGAAAUAUGCAUUUUCAUAUCAGUCAGGUAAUUAUAAACCCUGUAUUGUUAACUAUUACAUCAUAAAUAUACCAUAUAUGAUGCAGUUUUUUUCCCAUUUCUCUCUUUAAUGACACACUUCCACCCCUCCUAGAUGAAUUAGAUGGAUCGGUUCAUUUCUGCAGCAGGUAGAGAUAAGAGAGAACCAGCAGGACACUGACCAGCCAAUCGGAUGUUCUCCUGACUGAGAAAGUGGGAUAAUAUCUCAUCUCUGCGGUUGUGGAUCACAAGCUGUAUGGCAGCAGAGCUGAGUUUGAUGCCACCAUUGACCUUCUCCUUAAAGAGUUUGGAGUGGAACUGGUCUGCCUUGCUGGUUUCAUGAGGAUCCUGACUGGGAUCUUUGUGAAAAAAUGGCAUGGGAGGCUCCUCAACAUUCAUCCCUCCCUGCUGCCUUCAUUCAAAGGGGUCAAUGCCCAGCAACAGGCUCUCCAGGCCAGAGUGCUGAUAACUGGGUGCACCGUCCACUUUGUAGCUGUAAGUGUUGCGCUAACACAUAUAAAGCUCAUCAAAUAAAUCCACACAAUAAAAGUUCUUCGUUUCUUCUAGGAAGAGGUUGAUGCAGGCGCCGUCGUGGUCCAGGAAGCCGUUCCGGUGUUGGUUGGAGACACAGAGGAAAGUCUGUCGGCCAGAAUCGGGGAGGCCGAGCACAAAGCGCUCCCUAAAGCUCUGGAGCUGGUGGCCAGUGGAGCGGUGCAACUGGGACCAGAUGGAAACAUAGUCUGGAAGCAAGGGCGUUGAAAUGUCUCUACUAAUGCAUGUCUGACUAAUGAUCAGAAACCAUAGUUUACAAUAAAGUACAUCACUGUCAAUUGUA